Molecule: long non-coding RNA, 742 nt
Filed under: Homo sapiens (human)
Lineage: Eukaryota; Metazoa; Chordata; Mammalia; Primates; Hominidae
Description: HSALNT0320329
Source: RNAcentral
AGGCUGGUUUCACUUUCACUGUGCUCCCUCAACAGCACCAAGUUUAUUUCCAGGCAGUGGGUGAGCAGGGCUGAAAAGCUGCCCCAGGCUACCAGCCUCCCAGCUGAGAAAGCAAGCAGGGCUUUUAGAUUUCACCUCUCCCCACCUACCAUGGCUUCUGUGCUGUGAUUGCACUCCUGAUUCAACCCCUCCCCUGAUUUCUGUCGGGGAAACUUUGCAUUCGGUCGAAAUUGUUACAAAGUUCAGCUGGAAGUUUCCUUCCCUGUGUGGUUUCUUCCCGGUUCCUCUGGCAGCCCUCCCCAAGGACUUCUGUAAGACAAAGUCGGAAGUUACUUCCUUGGGGACCGAGAGCCCACAGGGGUCUUCCUACUGCUUCUUCUACCCCUGUAUUUCACUCAGCUCUCUAAAUUUGUCUCAGCUCCAGGAAGGCAGGGAUUUCAACCUGGGCAACAAGUCCACAGAACAUGAGAUUUCUGAAGGUGUGUGGGAUACAUCAUGGUUACAUAAAAAUCCUUUCACUAUAGUUCCUGCUUCCCUAUCUUCAAAAUGAUUCCCUGAAGACUUCCGCCAUGACGGUCUAAAGCCUAACCUCUGAACUGUGGAUGGAAAAUUGAACUCCUUGAUGUGAUCUCUGCACAUCAUGCAACCCUAAACCUAAAUAUAUUCUCUGUGUGGGAGCCCCAUUAUUUUUAGUCUAAUACAUUUUAAGUCAUCUUAAAAAAUUAUAUUUUGUUUUCUUUUA